Long non-coding RNA from Hyla sarda, 422 nucleotides. RefSeq lists it as uncharacterized. NCBI's taxonomy places the organism in Eukaryota, Metazoa, Chordata, Amphibia, Anura, Hylidae. The record is from RefSeq and is a predicted model, not a curated record. The transcript is spliced from 4 exons.
CCGCGCUAUGCAGACUGGGAAGAGCAGACAGGAAGCUCCUCCCCCUCUCUCACUCCCCUGUAUGCUGGACCUUGUGGAGCAGGCCCGCUGUGUGUAUACAGGCCCGGACACCACCAGUAUGGAAGACUUACCUGCCCAGUGCCCACUGCUGAUGCUGCCCUUUUAAAGUUGUGAAUGCAAAACACACUGAAGAGACUGCAGCCGGCGCGCACCUCCUUGUACAGCUUACGGUGACAUCAUCACAAGCAUAUGUGACAUCACAGGGUUCUAAACCAUCUUCAGGAUUCACACAAAGAAACUGUAAACUGGAAGCUAGGAUCAUGCUGCCACAAGGAUCCAAACAGAGAGCAGGAAACCAUUAUCGGGAGUGUGUGUGUGCAGGAAAAGAGGGCAGCCGCAGAGAUUGGAACGUUGGAAGACAG